Molecule: ribosomal RNA, 253 nt
Filed under: uncultured bacterium
Lineage: Bacteria
Description: partial 16S ribosomal RNA
Rfam family: Bacterial small subunit ribosomal RNA
Source: RNAcentral
UACAGAGGGUGCAAGCGUUAAUCGGAAUUACUGGGCGUAAAGCGUGCGUAGACGGUUAUUUAAGUCAGGUGUGAAAGCCCCGGGCUCAACCUGGGAAUUGCAUUUGUGACUGCAUAGCUAGAGUACGGUAGAGGGGGAUGGAAUUCCGCGUGUAGCAGUGAAAUGCGUAGAUAUGCGGAGGAACACCGAUGGCGAAGGCAAUCCCCUGGACCUGUACUGACGCUCAUGCACGAAAGCGUGGGGAGCAAACAGG